Long non-coding RNA from Talpa occidentalis (Iberian mole), 598 nucleotides. RefSeq lists it as uncharacterized. The transcript is spliced from 4 exons. NCBI's taxonomy places the organism in Eukaryota, Metazoa, Chordata, Mammalia, Eulipotyphla, Talpidae. The record is from RefSeq and is a predicted model, not a curated record.
CCUUGCACCACAAGGGAGGCCCAGAAUUUGCCUUUUCUACAGGCAUUUGAGCUGAUUCUGACAUGUGGGAGAGACUAGCAAUGCUGUCUGGACAGGCAAUUACAUGAGGCAAUAAUUUUUAAAAAGGAGAAGAAUGCCGUGCAUUCUACCAACGUAGUGGACAAUUGGCAGAGUAGUGAAGAUAGGGAGGUGGCCUUAUCUAAAUCCUUCACAUCACAUGGAGUUACUAAUUUUCUCUCCAAGAUUGACUUCAGAUAUCCUGCUCUUCCGUGUGACAUCUGCUGCAGGAUCCCCUGCUCAGGCUUCCCUGCGACAUCUGCUGCAGGAUUCCCUGCACAGGAUUCCCUGCAGGCUCAGGCAGGUGAGAAGAAAAAAGACCAUGAAUUGAAGACACAGUGAAUCCAGAACUAUAUACUGAACUCCAACAUGCUAGAAAUAAAGGACUACUCUUAAUCCUCAGAAGUGAUACAUACAGAAUCAGAAGCUGUGCUGUCAGGAGGAACAGACUGGUGCUGGCACCACAGAAGUGCUCUCAAUCAGCCGUAGAAAUGAUUUGCGCCAUUUUCUCAUGUUAAGGACUACUAACUUUUAUUUCAAA